Long non-coding RNA from Clupea harengus (Atlantic herring), 2350 nucleotides. The record is from Ensembl. Lineage: Eukaryota; Metazoa; Chordata; Actinopteri; Clupeiformes; Clupeidae.
GGGGAGAGUGGGUGGGAAACGACACGAGGGAAAUCCAUGACUUCCCUAUGGUUUGACAGUUUGUGAUCAUAUAAAAGUCGAGUGGCAGUAGUCUAUCAACAAACUAGACGAGGAACAGCAAAAGAGGAAGAUAAAGGCCAAAUCACGCGAAUGUGUUCCACUCUUGCAGUCUCUUUGACAACCGCGAACAAGCACCAUUUGGACUCAGUUUUGGAACUUGAUUAAUUUGUUUUUAUUCCCUGAGCAAAAAAAAGUCUCAAUAAUUCAAACUGGACAGCAUGUCAUCAAAGGACGUGGAGAGCCUUCAGCCCACCGUGCGCCACCGCGACAAGUCUGUCUACGUCUGUCUGGGGUGCUUGACGUUCGCCUUGGUUGUAAUUUCGCUUGGCGGGGGAGCGAUGUUUCUGUUUAUGUGGAGAGAGCUACAGAGCCAGGUAGCCUCUACCAAAUCGACGGGCUCCAAAGCUACCCAUUCUGCACCUCUCCCUGACGAGGGCACAUUUAAGUCGGGACAUGUUGCCUACGUGAGAGCUACCAACGGCGAAGUUCGUAAUCAAACUAUGAAAUGGGAGACGAUUGGAUUCGGCAGCAGCUCUUCCAUUGGCACGAAUUACAACUACAGCUCAACUCAAAGUAUGCUGAAAGUGCUGGGCGAAGGGAGUUAUUAUAUCUACAUGGACAUCAGUUUCGUGAAAACCGCGACAGAGUGCAAAAGCAGUAGCAUUGUGGAAGUGACGUUGAAGUCCGAUAAUGCUGAAGUACUGCCCCCGUGUGUGGUGGAACUGGAUUGCCAGGUCACGACGCCCGUGACGAACAGGUGUUGGGACGUGGUGCACUUGAAGCGAGACAGCCGCCUGAGUGGUCAUAUGACCGUGCGCACACCGAACUCACCAAAUGGAGGCUUUGUAUGGAAACUUGUAAGCAACAAUUCGGGCUUUGGGAUGUUCUUCGUGGGCAGCUAGUGAGUCCACCAGCACUGGCGACCACCGUAGUAGAACUAAUGACUAGAUUUAAGCGACCACUGUAUUAGAACUAAUUACUUGUUUCAAGCGUACCCGGGAGUUCGUGGAGCUUCAGCACCUUUCCUAAGCUCAGGACACUGCGUGGAAGGAGAGACAAUUUCUUCCGCAAACAUUGUGCUAUUUAUAUUAUCUCUAUUUUUAUAAUUAUUUAUUUACAACAUGCACAUGUAUAUGUAUAACAGUACAGUAUAUUUACUGUUGAGAGUGUUUUAUAUAAGUAGGCAGCACUACACGGACAGGAGACUUUAAAUGGUUAAAACUAGUGAAAGCUGUUUAAAGCUUCACUUGCACAGCUAGGUCUGGUAAGUUUGACCACAAGAUGAUGUGUUUGAUUGUUUGUUAUGACAUUGGAUGUUAAUGUAUACAUUGACAGUAAUAAUAACAGAAAACAGUAACAGUAAUAGUAGUAGAAAAAAAGUACUGAAUAACAGCAACUGUUUUGAUUGUAUGUUUCCUUGGAAACGUAUAAAGGUCAGGCCUUGUCCUGAAGCUGGUGGUACUUAUGACCCGUGUUAUGCUUUAGGACGAAGAGGGCAUCUACCUCAAGAGUACGCACGCACACACACACACACACACACACACACAAACAGACACACACACACACACACACACACACACAUACACAUACAUACACAUACAAAGACAUACUCUCUCUCCCCCCAAUAACACAAACACACAUAUACAGCAAAGAAUGGGGCUCGCAGUAUCUUUGAAUGUAUCAUGAUAUGUAUGACCUGUGUUAUGAUUUAAGACCAAGAGGGCAUCUACCUCAAGAGUACACACACAGACACACACACACACUUGUGUUUGAUGUGUGCACUCGCUGGGCCAUCUGGUGCUCUGUUACCAUAGAGAUGACUCGUUACGGUCUGGGGUUGGUUAACCAUGGGGACCAGAUGUGCAUUGGAUACCGACCGAACCAUGACAUAAACUUGGACUGUCAGCAAAAGACUCCUUUACUUUAAUCAUGUCCUCAGCAGGGUUUUUGUUGUUGUUGUUUGUCAAAAAAAAAAAGGUCAUUCCUACUGUAAAUUCCCAACUUUGACAAUUCCAUGUACUUUAACCACUAAAGGAGGAGUAGCUGUGUACAUGCUCUGGCAAUUCCAUGUACUGUUAUCCAAAGAUUUUCAAUCCUCCUUCGAGGUGUUCAGUUCUGUGUAGUUAUGUGGGAUGUUUUUUGAAAUUUCAGAUGCCAUUAAUAAUGUAAUUGUUCUCAUUUCACUUCAACCACUACAGUUAUGCAGGAGUACCUGUGUGGGCAGGGCCCUCUCCCAUAGCCCCCCCCCCCCAUUUCCACAGAAAGAGUUUUCCGUGCGAUUUAGUGGAAG